UGCCGUUGUAGCUCAGUAGGUAGAGCACUCGGCUGUUAACCGAGCGGUCAUCGGUUCAAAUCCGAUCAACGGCGU
RNAcentral lists this transfer RNA (75 nucleotides) under Thermoplasmatales archaeon. Its description in RNAcentral is "tRNA-Asn". It matches the Rfam family "tRNA". Rfam says of the family: Transfer RNA (tRNA) molecules are approximately 80 nucleotides in length. Their secondary structure includes four short double-helical elements and three loops (D, anti-codon, and T loops). Lineage: Archaea; Methanobacteriati; Thermoplasmatota; Thermoplasmata; Thermoplasmatales. The record is from RNAcentral.